GGUGUAGGCGGUGGCGCAAGUCGGAUGUGAAAUCCCGAGGCUCAACCUCGGAACUGCAUUCGAAACUGCGUCACUAGAGUCUCGGAGAGGGUGGCAGAAUUCCCGGUGUAGGGGUGAAAUCCGUAGAUAUCGGGAGGAAUACCAGUGGCGAAGGCGGCCACCUGGACGAUGACUGACGCUGAGACCCGAAAGCGUGGGGAGCAAACAGGAUUAGAUACCCUGGUAGUCC
RNAcentral lists this ribosomal RNA (229 nucleotides) under uncultured bacterium. RNAcentral describes it as "partial 16S ribosomal RNA". It matches the Rfam family "Bacterial small subunit ribosomal RNA", at positions 568 to 796 of the family's 1533-position model. The record is from RNAcentral.